This 945-nucleotide long non-coding RNA is filed under the name Prunus persica (peach). RNAcentral describes it as "long non-coding RNA (PPER_LNC002221)". Lineage: Eukaryota; Viridiplantae; Streptophyta; Magnoliopsida; Rosales; Rosaceae. The record is from RNAcentral.
UCUUGAAAUUGAUAAAGAUUAUCUGAUAAGAGUAGAAAUUAGGAUUAAUAUAUAUAUAUAUACCAUGUGUUAAUAUAUUAAUUUAGGGAAAGAAAAAAAAAAGAGGUAAGAAGAAUAAAGGCUACAGUCGCCAGGAGUUAGAAAAGGGCAAGAAUCUUUGAUCUUUAUUUAUGAAAGUUCAUCUUUACCCCAAAAAAGAAAACAAAAACAAAAGGGCAAAAAAGAUAUUAUCAUAUUGAAAUUGAAAGCCACAGCCAACAGCUUGCGUUAAAGCCUACGGCUUGUGUUUUAUAUUUUUCAAAACACUCAAGUGAAACGACAUCGUUUCAUUUAACCCUAAAAACAAAACACGCGACUCUUCUUCCUCGCAGAGUCAUCUUCCUCGCAGCCAUUUUGCAGACUCAUCUGCAAUCUCUUCCGGUUCAGAAUUGUCCAGAUCUAGCACCGCCUCGCUCCGCCUAGCCACGCCUUGCAACGCCUCUUCACGCCUUGCCUGCGCUAAACGUGCAACUCGCGAAACAGCCCACCAACUUAGACGAUUACCUGCCGCCUCGCUCCGACCCGCGCCCCGACGCGCGCGAAGGCAUGCCUUUGAAAACACUGAUCUAAAAUACUCUUUGGAGACUUUGUAUCCUUCUGUAUUGAUGAUUUCUGCGUGUCCAUCUCCCAUUUACCCUUGUUUUUUGUAGGUAAGUUGGCCGGGUUUACAGAUGGAACUCGUACAGUUGAUAAACCUGAAUUGUUUUCUUCCCUUCUACGAUCAGCAGUAGAAGAUGCAUUCCAUAGAGUCUUCUUCACCAAUUUCCCUUUCUUUGGGUGCAUCGUAUAAUGUGAAGAUCAUUUAUCUUUACUCGCGAACUUCUUCACCUGAACUGUGGCUUGAAACCAAUUAUAAAUACCAAAAGUCAAAAGUGAUUGUAGGCAUAUGAAAAUUAUAAAGAAAUC